AAACGGGGGAAGCCACUGGAAAUGCAUGCAGGAAAUUACAGAAUAAGAUGGAGAAUCUGCAAAACCUUGUGGAAACACUGCAGUCAAAAAACCAAGCAAUGUCAACAAUGAUCAGAUGUCAGGAAAAGAAAAUAGAGCAAGCAAAGGAAAAAGAGAAGAAGCUUUCCAAAUGAAAAUGGGUAUGGUUUUUAAUAACUCAAGAUGUAUCUAGAUACGUCAUUCAGAACCUGGCUGAAUGGAAUGUUGCAUGCCUCCUGUUCUUGUUAAUAAUAAAAGUUGACGUAGUUUUGUAA
Non-coding RNA from Python bivittatus (Burmese python), 293 nucleotides. Lineage: Eukaryota; Metazoa; Chordata; Lepidosauria; Squamata; Pythonidae. The record is from RefSeq and is a predicted model, not a curated record.